UGCUUGCACCUGGUGGAUGAGUGGCGAACGGGUGAGUAAUACGUGAGUGACCUUCCUUGGACUCUGGGAUAAGCCCGGGAAACUGGGUCUAAUACCGGAUACGACCAGUCCUCGCAUGGGGUGCUGGUGGAAAGGGUUUGUACUGGUUCUUGAUGGGCUCACGUCCUAUCAGCUUGUUGGUGAGGUAAUGGCUUACCAAGGCGACGACGGGUAGCCGGCCUGAGAGGGUGACCGGCCACACUGGGACUGAGACACGGCCCAGACUCCUACGGGAGGCAGCAGUGGGGAAUAUUGCACAAUGGGCGCAAGCCUGAUGCAGCGACGCCGCGUGGGGGAUGACGGCCUUCGGGUUGUAAACCUCUUUCAGCAGGGAAGAAGCGAAAGUGACGGUACCUGCAGAAGAAGCGCCGGCUAACUACGUGCCAGCAGCCGCGGUAAUACGUAGGGCGCAAGCGUUGUCCGGAAUUAUUGGGCGUAAAGAGCUCGUAGGCGGUUUGUCGCGUCUGCUGUGAAAGCCCGGGGCUCAACCCCGGGUGUGCAGU
This 542-nucleotide ribosomal RNA is filed under the name Rothia koreensis. RNAcentral's name for it is "bacterial SSU rRNA". It matches the Rfam family "Bacterial small subunit ribosomal RNA", at positions 77 to 627 of the family's 1533-position model. The record is from RNAcentral. Lineage: Bacteria; Bacillati; Actinomycetota; Actinomycetes; Micrococcales; Micrococcaceae.